UGAGGUUGCAAUGUGAUGAGAAUAUUCCUGAGAGACAUUCUGAUGAUGAGAACGAACAGGAGAAUGUUCCUGACUACAGUCGUCAGUCUGAUGCUGUAACAGAGAUCAGAGCCAUCAGAGAACAACCUGCAGUCGAUCCAGCCGUGGACUUGGAUGAGAAAAAGAUUUACGCCAAUCCCGAGGUAACUGCAGCGCUCCAAACCAUGAGACAAGCCAGUGUUGAGGAAAUGAUGCCUCUUCUUCAGGUCAGAGAAACAGCCAGCAGACCUGACACUCUUACACUGAUCCAUCACAAUACAGAGGGUUUGCCAUCUCACAUCAGUGACAUCAAGAGUCAUCAUGAAAUGUGUUUAGCAGAUGUUUUGUGUCUCACUGAGUCUCACCUCCAAGGCUCCUUUGUUGCAGACAGUCUUCAUUUGGACGGCUACACCAUGUUCAAACGCAACAGACAUGUGUCCUACACAAACUUUCCUCACAUGGCCAGCAGAAGUGUGUUGAAGGUUCAGGCUCCAUUCCCUGCGCUCAUUGCUGUUGUGUACAGACCUCCAGACUACAGUUUGGCACCGUUCAUGCAAAACCUGGUAAGUCUUUUAGAUUCACUUGAAAUAAUGGACUGUCACCCAAUAAUUGUGUGUGGAGAUUUUAAUGAGAACCAGUUGCAGAGUGGAAGAAAACAGAUUCUGGAGCAGUUUCAGUCGAGAGGGUAUUCACAGCUGAUCACUUCUGCCACUACAGACAAGAACACCCUGCUUGACCUCAUUUUUGUUUCUCAGCCACAGCAAAGUCUCCAUUCAGGUGUCCUGAGGACAUAUUACAGUUACCACAACCCUGUGUUUUGUGUCCUGUCCUCCAGCCAAUCAUGAAGUCGUCUGGUGAGUUUUGAAACAAUUACAGAUCAUGUUUGUUACAGAGUUUACUGAUUGUAGAGCAUUAAAAAGAUUUUUCAUUGAAAAAUCAUAUUUCUUCAUAUUGUCUUCCCUACUCUGUCUGUAAGAAGAGCCUUUCUUAUUGCAAUGUUAUUAAUCAUUUCACCAAAUCAUGGCUGUACUUCAUGCAGAGCCGGGAGAUCUGCUUUCUGUUAUCAUGCACCUCAGAUCUGAAAUAUGCUGCAAAAAGUAUUAAACGAACAUAAUUUAUUUUUUAAUCUAAUGUUUUAAAUGAGUAAAUCUACUAAUGCAUUUUUUCAUGGAUGUUAAUUGUCAUCUCCUUUUUUGAUACUUUUUUACUCUGACGUAUGUAUCUCAACAAACGAGAGCUUCCCCUCAAAGGGCUUUCAAAUAUGAAAUAGUAAAUAAAUAAAUCCCAGAUAAAUGCAGGUAUUUAUUAUGGGUCACAUGAAUAAUAACAGACAAUUAUAUUUUCUUGAUUAUAGUAAAUUUUGUAGAAUCAAAUGUUUUUGGGAUGAAUGAGGUUUUGCUCAUCAUGUUUUACAGGUAAAAAAUGUUAAAAGUUUUAAACUAUCUUUAGGCUACCAGAGAUGUUUAUAAUGAUUCAUUAUGUAGAGAAAAACAUUUUUACAGCUUACAGAAUAUGUAUAAAAACUGAUUUAGAAGUACAUGGAAAGUUU
Oreochromis aureus is the source of this 1567-nucleotide long non-coding RNA. The record is from Ensembl. Lineage: Eukaryota; Metazoa; Chordata; Actinopteri; Cichliformes; Cichlidae.